CUGGCCAGAAGGAGGCUGAAAGUUAGAAAUUGCUAUUCUUUUAGGAUCGGUUGGGUGGGUUGGGGGGCAAGGGUGUCUAUUUGCAGUAAAGAUAUUUUGAGAAGAAGAAAAUUGUUUUAUAUAAGAGGAAAGCCAUGACCACCUUUCUACCUCAGAUCCAUCUUCAUCCAUCGCGUUGGAAAUAGCUUUAUGCCGCUACAGUUUGAAAAAUCUAGAGCUUCUAUCAGAUCACAUCUUACCCAGUAAAAAUAUCUAUUUAAAGAAAAAAAAGUCCCUGAACUCUGAACUGAAAGUUGUAGAUUUGGUGUCUUCCUUGUCC
Molecule: long non-coding RNA, 319 nt
Filed under: Androctonus crassicauda
Lineage: Eukaryota; Metazoa; Arthropoda; Arachnida; Scorpiones; Buthidae
Source: RNAcentral